Molecule: small nuclear RNA, 109 nt
Filed under: Aotus nancymaae (Ma's night monkey)
Lineage: Eukaryota; Metazoa; Chordata; Mammalia; Primates; Aotidae
Source: RNAcentral
GUGCUCACUUUCGGCAGCACAUACACUAAAAUUGGAACGAUACGGAGAAGAUUAGCAGGCCCCGCUGAGCAAGGAUGACACACAAAUUUGUGAAGCGUUCCAUAUUUAA